UUUAGAUAUAAAUUAUUUUAACCUAGGUAGUACUAGUUAAUGUCUUGAAACUUAAAGAAUUUGGCGGUAUUUUAGUCUAUUUAGAGGAAUCUGUCCCUUAAUCGAUAAUCCACGUUGUACCUUACCAAAUUUAAAUAAUAUGUAUACCGCCGUUAUAAUGAGAAUCUUUAUAGAGUUAUAAUAAUUUUCUAGAUUUAUUUAUAAAAUUUAUUUCAGGUCAAGGUGCAGUUUAUAAUAUGGUGGAGAUGGAUUACAUUUAUUUUGAUUUAUUGGAUUAUUUUUUGGAAUUAAAAGAUAUAAAAUUGGAUUUAAUUGUAAUUUUUUGUAGAUUUUAAAUAUGAUUUUAGCUCUAUAAUAUGU
RNAcentral lists this ribosomal RNA (360 nucleotides) under Rothisilpha bouleti. Its description in RNAcentral is "partial 12S ribosomal RNA". The record is from RNAcentral. Lineage: Eukaryota; Metazoa; Arthropoda; Insecta; Blattodea; Blattidae.